AUACUGCUGAGGAGUCCCAUAAUAGGACGAAACGACCGUUCAGUGC
This 46-nucleotide non-coding RNA is filed under the name Schistosoma mansoni. Lineage: Eukaryota; Metazoa; Platyhelminthes; Trematoda; Strigeidida; Schistosomatidae. The record is from RNAcentral.